CUUUCAAUUUUUCUUUUGCUUUUAUAAACUGCUGGAAACAUCUCUGUAUUCUCAACUUUGUACACUUGUCUGAUCAAUUCCUAGAAGAGGAACUGAUGGAUCAAAGGACAUCCAUUGUUGAUACUGCAGUUAACGUGGCAGAAAAAUAUCUGUGAUUCUCUUGGCGACAGGUAGAAGCAAGUACUGCUGAAGCUAAUAUGAUUUGUUGCUGAUGUUUAUAAUGGAAGGAGAUGCUAAAUUUCAGUUGGAGAAGACCUGCUGCCACGCACUGCAAAUACAUCAGGAGAGAAGUGUGGAAUCCCGGACCAUGGGAUUAUCUUCCCAGAGGACUCUGAAAGCGGAGACCCCCUUGAACAGGUGUCCAGUGACCUGAUGGAAACUGAACAGUCCGUGCCGCUCUCUUGUAAGGGCAUGUGGUAAUUCUAGCCAACACGCUUUCCUAACAAUGUACCUUCAGCUUCUGUUAACACUUUCACAGGGCCCUUAAACUUUCAGAACCAUUACAUACAUUGAAGUCAAUACUUGCUUCCAAGUUUGACUAAGGUUCCUAGAAAGUAAGGCUUACAAAAACCUUAUCAUUUGUGAUCACUCUGAAAAUAGAGACAAAGUUAAGAUGAAUUUCUCUGCAAAGUUAAAUAGAUAACACAUGAUUAUUUAUCUUAAGCCAGCAUCCUAGCUCAUAUUAAUAUUCUGAUCUAAUUAGGUAAAGGCCAGGAGGGAGAACUGGAUAGGAGAAGGGAAGUGAAUUGUAUGUGGUUUAUAUAAAUUACUGAAAAUGUUACUCUAGUGUGAGGUUAUAAUUGGAAUGGUCUGUUACCGUGACACUCCUUAAUGAUUUUA
Long non-coding RNA from Suricata suricatta (meerkat), 840 nucleotides. RefSeq lists it as uncharacterized. NCBI's taxonomy places the organism in Eukaryota, Metazoa, Chordata, Mammalia, Carnivora, Herpestidae. The transcript has 3 exons. The record is from RefSeq and is a predicted model, not a curated record.